UUGAGUCCAGGUGCUCAGUUGGGAAUGGAUGGGAAGCAAAGUGCAACCUCCACAUGGCCUCUGGUGCUUUGCUGGGCAUUGCUAAUAAGUAAUACAAAUUACUGCUGCAAAAAUGGAAAUUGGCAGUUAUAAAAAUACAGCUGAGUUUGAGGGAAGGAGUAAGGAAUUGCUUUCCAGGGAAGGAAGGCAAGCCAUGUGGUUAGACUGCAAAGUCUCCUUCAGGAGAGCACAGUAAGUUCCUGAGACCUCCCAAGAGUUUCUUAGGGAGAUUAAUCUGGAGGACUAAGAAAGUGGAGCCAGUGAAGUUGUAUUGACUCUACUGAUACUAUCCUCCUAAAUGAAAUGGUGGAAGAACAAGGCCUGUCUGUGAGAUGGAGUCAGGACUUACUUUCUCUACCUACAAGGUUUUUGUGGCAAUUAGAGGGAACAAGUUAGUCCUCAUGGGUUCCUUUGCUCCUGGCUCCAGGACUGRGUGAUGAGGGACACUGGACACCGUGACAAAUUAUGGUAUUUCUUUUUGCUGCCUUAACAGUCCUGUACAGAGUCUCUGGCAAUGGCCACGUUCUCCUCAGCAGACCACUCUGUAUUCAGGCAUCAGGCUUGUGUUGUCCAGCAGAUUCAUCAAGCUGGCAGUGUAAUGACGAAGCUUGUCCCARUCCCACAGUGUCAGAGCACCUCAUGGUUGGCUUGGUGAAUCCAUCCUUGCAGCACUCCUAA
Molecule: long non-coding RNA, 717 nt
Filed under: Dromaius novaehollandiae (emu)
Lineage: Eukaryota; Metazoa; Chordata; Aves; Casuariiformes; Dromaiidae
Description: lncRNA (ENSDNVG00000004507.1)
Rfam family: Small Cajal body specific RNA 15 (bases 275-405)
Source: RNAcentral